This 62-nucleotide transfer RNA is filed under the name Clonorchis sinensis. It matches the Rfam family "tRNA", at positions 6 to 65 of the family's 71-position model. Rfam says of the family: Transfer RNA (tRNA) molecules are approximately 80 nucleotides in length. Their secondary structure includes four short double-helical elements and three loops (D, anti-codon, and T loops). The record is from Rfam by way of RNAcentral. Lineage: Eukaryota; Metazoa; Platyhelminthes; Trematoda; Opisthorchiida; Opisthorchiidae.
GGUAGCUCAGUUGCUAGAGCACUUGCUCGGUAAGCAAGAGGUCACGGAUUCGUGUCCCGCCC